AUAUUUUAAAAUUGGAAGUUCAUGCGACAAAAACGAGAAGUGUAUCAUCGAUUUGGGUAUUUCCAUUGCAAUAUCUAUAGUUAUUGUCAUUCUUGGAACUAGCCUAAAUAUUGCAUUCUGGAGAAGGAAAUCGAAUCGGCUCAACAGUAAACAAUCGCAGGAAACCAUGGUGAAUGACGAUUCAGGUAAUCCGGACAUCAACUAUGA
Magallana angulata is the source of this 207-nucleotide long non-coding RNA. RefSeq lists it as uncharacterized. NCBI's taxonomy places the organism in Eukaryota, Metazoa, Mollusca, Bivalvia, Ostreida, Ostreidae. The transcript has 3 exons. The record is from RefSeq and is a predicted model, not a curated record.